RNAcentral lists this ribosomal RNA (496 nucleotides) under uncultured bacterium. Its description in RNAcentral is "partial 16S ribosomal RNA". It matches the Rfam family "Bacterial small subunit ribosomal RNA", at positions 28 to 507 of the family's 1533-position model. The record is from RNAcentral.
GAUGAACGCUGGCGGCGUGCCUAUACCUGCAAGUCGAGCGCACAGACGAGGAGCUUGCUCCUCUGACGUUAGCGGCGGACGGGUGAGUAACACGUGGAUAACCUACCUAUAAGCCUGGGAUAACUUCGGGAAACCGGAGCUAAUACCGGAUAAUAUAUUGAACCGCAUGGUUCAAUAGUGAAAGACGGUUUUGCUGUCACUUAUAGAUGGAUCCGCGCCGCAUUAGCUAGUUGGUAAGGUAACGGCUUACCAAGGCAACGAUGCGUAGCCGACCUGAGAGGGUGAUCGGCCACAGUGGAGCUGAGACACGGUCCAGAGUCCUACGGGAGGCAGCAGUAGGGACUGUGCCGCAAGGGGCGAAGGCUUGACGGAGGAGCGCCGCGUGAGUGAUGAAGGUCCUCGGAUCGUACAACUCUGUGAUUAGGGGUGAACAAAUGUGUAGGUAGCUAUGCACGUCUGGACGGUACCUACUCAGAAAGGCACGGCGAGCUACGGG